UAAAAAAUAUCUUGGAAGAAAACUGUUAACUAAUUAUAUCUAUUCUUUUGAUGUAAAAAAAAUCUUGCAGUUGAAAUGAAUAUCAAUAUAAAUUGUCACAUAUCUUAUUAAACAUAAUCUUAAUUAUUGUGAGCAGACAUUAUCACAUAUCUUUUCUUUUAUCAUGCAUUUGAUUGUGCCAUUGUUUUUUAUUUAUUUGUUUUUUAUAUCACACAUACUUACACAACCAUAGAUAUGUUUUACCCCCGCCUUAAAGAAAGGGUUGGGGUAUGAAAUAAUACAAUUGUAUGUUUCCUUCACACCUUGAUUUAAAAUUUAAUCAUUCUUAAAAGUUAAAAAAGUAAAAUAAAUUGACAUAUGUGCCAAGAGAAGUCUUGUACCAUUACCAUGCAGUGUAGUAGAAUGACAAGAAUUUAGUUUCUCACUUAAUUAAAGGUGACAUUCUUUAUCCAACCUGUACCUCAGAAAGGUUUCUGUUGAAAAUCUGAAUGUCUUAAUAUAAAAAUUUUUUUAUGGUAAACAAAAGCCAAGGCUUCAACUUUUCGUAAAACAUCACAACAUAAAAGAAGCCAGGGAUGCACUCUUGGGGUUUAAGGAUAAAGAAAACCUGCGGAUUAACUAGAAAAGCAUUUGAAAUUAGUAAAUUGAAAGCCAAGCCUUCACUGCCUACAUUUGAGGCUUGAAAACUUUGCAGAUAUAUUGAAAAAUUUAAUUUUUUCACCGUUCAAAGCUAGCCAAUGCUUAGUAACUGGUAUUUGAAGAUUGAGAAUGUGUAGAUCAUUGAUAGAGAUGAUAAUAUGGAUUACAGCAUAUGUUUAUCAUAUGUUUAUGAAUGACCUGGAAUAAUAUUACGCGCUCUUAACUAUAUACUAAAUUAUAAAAAAAGCUCUCUUACCCUUUGAGAUAUUUGUCUUUUUGACAGUAGAUCUCCACUGAAAACCCCCUCUUUUCAUGUCUCAAUAUAAGUGCUCAUCAGUUUAUUUUUUGUUCUUAUGUCAAUUUUCUAACCAGUGACUAUAAAAAAUGCUCGAAUAAUAGGUCAAAAUAUUUUUACUGCAGAUGUGUUUGUAAAAAGGGUUUAGUGACCUUGACCUCAUUUUUACAUUGUUAUGAUCAGUAUUAAGUGUUUUGUACUACAUGAAGUAUUUUGUCCAUUGAGUAAGCCAAACUAUCAAUGCAUUCUUGUCAACUAUGAAUUCUUUAUAAAUACCCUUGUUUUGAUUUGUUACAGUAGUUCUGACACAUUGAUAGUUACAGAGAAUCAAAGGGCCCAUAAUUGCAUUUAAAAUUCAUUUUAAAAUUUAUGCUCAAGUGGUUGUGAUUUAUCCCUUAUCAGAUCCUCUUCAUAAAAACUUUGAAGAGUACAGUAUUGCAGCAGAUUAUUUACAUUAACCUUAGUGUCCAAGCCUUGCAAAGCUUGAUUAGCAAAUAAAACUGCUUUUUGCACCGUACAUUGAAUCAAAUUAUUGUGUCAAGUGUGUUAAACUCAUUGUUGUGUCUAGCACAAUAUUAUGUACCCAGUCGCUUUUGAUAUACAACUGUUCAAAAUUCCAAAGUAAACACAUUACUGUUAUAUUACACUGUACUCAGUGUGGCUUUUUUUCUUGUUUUAUUCCAAGACAAUCAUGUUUUUUUGUUGUUGAUAAUUUAUUUAUUAGUAUAUUGUAUUUUAAAUGCUUGUUGUUUAUUAUACGACCGCAAAAAAAAUUUGCGUUCGUAUAAUUGUAUGAUGUUGUUGUCUGUGUCGUCGUCUGCGUCUUUGUCUGCGUCGUUGUCUGAGUCGUCCGAAGACACAUUUGGUGUCCGGACAAUAACUUUAGUUUAAGUGAAUGCAUCUCUAUGAAAUUUAAUGAAAAGGUUCAAUACCUCAAAAGGAAGGUUGGGAUUGAUUUUCGGGAUAAUGGUUCAAACCGUUUUGGAAUUAGGGGCCCAAAACAAGUAUUUUUCUACUUUCAGGAUAUCAACUUGUGUAAUAGAAUUUCAAUUGCUCUGAAAUUGUACCACAAUGUUUAAUACCACAGGUAAAAAGUUUGGGGUUAAGGUCCAAAAGGUUUAGGAAUUAGGGGCCAAAAAGGGGGCCCAAAAUAAGCAUUUUUGUAGUUUUCAAACAAUAACUUGUGUUUCAGUGUAUGAAUCUCUCUGAAAUUAUACCACAAGUUUCCAUACCAUGAAGGAAUGGUUAAUUUUGACUUUGGUGGGUUAUGGCUCAAAAUGUUUUGGAAUUAGGGGCAAAAAAGGGGAAAUAUUAGGUUUUUGGUCAAUGGACAAUUUUUAAGCAGUGUUAGGGAGGUAACUCAAAAGUGUUUAACAUACAAUGUGGGGUAUGUUUGGAUUUACCUCCAUUACACUACUUGUAAAUUAUGUAUAAAGAAAUUCCAAAUUUUUGAAAAGUUUGAAGAAGAAAUUUUUAAUUGCACAAUAUUGCGCAAUAGAUUUGUAAGAUCUUGACAUUUGUUUUGUGUCAGAAACUCAAAUUAUGUAAAAAAUUUGAUCACAAUCCAAAUUCAGAGCUGUAUCAAGCUUGAAUGUCGUGUCCAUACUUGCCCCAACUGUUCAGGGUUCGACCUCUGCGGUCGUAUAAAGCUGCGCCCUGCAGAGCACCUGGUUGUUUAUGUGUGUUAUAUUACAUGCAUUCCAAUUUUUUUUUAAAUCAUUAAUUUAAAGAUUUAUAAAUGUUGAUAGAUCCAUUAAUCAUAUCUUCCAUUGAAAAUUUAGAAUUUCAAUAAGAGGGUUUUACAAGACAAUAAAACUAGUGAAUAAAACUAAUAUUCUCCGACAGUUUUGAAUGUUAAAAUUCUUGAAUUUUGCCUACUCUUUUAAAUUAACUUAACAAUAGCAAUCAUGUCACAGGAGAAAAGUCCUUAAUGUCAACUUUUGAGCUAGGUAAUUUCAUGGUGAAAUCUUUGAGAAUGACAUAUUUCUUUAAUCAUUAUAUGAAUGGUUCUUUUAGGGUUUGAAGUGUUGUAUGAAUAGAAAACAUCUCAUUAUACAAGUUAUGAUCAAAUUGACUAUCCUAUUGUUUGUACUUUCCUCAUCAAGCAUACCAGUCAUGUAAUUUAUAUGUAUGAUUCAUAUUGUAUGGUAAUCCAGGGCAAAAGAAAUCCUCCACAUUGUAACAUUUGUUUGAAAAAAAACUUAUACAAAUUGUAUAGCUUUGUAAAAAAUAAUUAGAAAAAGUUUUACAUACUAUUAUUGUAUUGUAUUGAUGGACAUAUCAUUGUCAUAAAAUAUUCAGUAAGCAUGUUUUACAUAUAAUUUAUGAUAUUAAUGGACCUAUUUUAUUUGUUAAUUUUUGUCAGUGACAGUUCAAAUGAAAGUCUGACUUCUCUCAACACAGAACAUUUGGUCUGUGGGGAAUUUGAACGGCUAGGAGAAUUUUAUUUUUGUAUUAUUUGCAAUGAAUAUGUUUUUUUUUAUUAUUUGCAUUGAAUAUGAAUUUUGUAUUAUUUGCAUUGAAUAUGAAUUAGUCAAGUUAAUCAUGUUAAUGGUUUAUAGUAAUUUAUUUGUUCUUUUAUUGGUUAUUAAUGCUUUGCUUUGAAUUCCUUUUUAUCUCCUACCUCUUUGUCUUGUAUAUCUAGUCCUAAUAAAUACUAUCACUAAACUGUAUUAGAAACAAAGUAGUCUAAUAUUUUAUUUUUAUGAACAUUCUCUUUCCACAAAAACCUUUUUCUAUCCAAUCAUAUUCACACAAGUGACAAAGCUGAUAAAUUUGAUAUAAUAAUGAAAGAUGAGUAAAAGGGCAUCGACAAAAUUAAAAAAAUAAUGAAAUAUGAAAUGCAUAUAAAUAAAAAUUGUUAGAAGUGAUAAUGUUAUUGUAUUCUUAAUCUAAAUACAUCUUAAAACAUGGCAAAUGUUAUUUUUCACAUGCGACAUGUUUUGAAUUUAGUAAAUAGGAAUAUUGGAACUAAAGAGGCUUUUCCUAUUUGAAAAAUUAGAUCAAUUUAUUAUACAAGUUUUCCUCUAUGAUAUUUUGU
This 3974-nucleotide long non-coding RNA is filed under the name Mytilus galloprovincialis (Mediterranean mussel). The record is from RNAcentral. Lineage: Eukaryota; Metazoa; Mollusca; Bivalvia; Mytilida; Mytilidae.